UUGGAGGGCAAGUCUGGUGCCAGCAGCCGCGGUAAUUCCAGCUCCAAUAGCGUAUAUUAAAGUUGUUGCAGUUAAAAAGCUCGUAGUUGAAUUUCGGGGUCAGUAGGCUGGUCGUGCCUCAGGUACGUACUGGUCUUACUGAUUCCUCCUUCCUGACGAACCGUAAUGCCAUUAAUUUGGUGUUGCGGGGAAUCUGGACUGUUACUUUGAAAAAAUUAGAGUGUUUAAAGCAGGCUAACGCUUGAAUACAUUAGCAUGGAAUAAUGAAAUAGGACGAUCGAUCCUAUUUUGUUGGUUUCUAGGAUUGACGUAAUGAUUAAUAGGGAUAGUUGGGGGCAUUAGUAUUCAAUUGUCAGAGGUGAAAUUCUUGGAUUUAUUGAAGACUAACUACUGCGAAAGCAUUUGCCAAGGAUGUUUUCAUUAAUCAAGAACGAAAGUUGGGGGAUCGAAGACGAUCAGAUACCGUCGUAGUCUUAACCAUAAACUAUGCCGACUAGGGAUCGGAUGAUGUUAAUUUUUUAAUGACUCAUUCGGCGCCUUACGGGAAA
Molecule: ribosomal RNA, 548 nt
Filed under: uncultured Glomeromycotina
Lineage: Eukaryota; Fungi; Glomeromycota
Description: SSU rRNA
Rfam family: Eukaryotic small subunit ribosomal RNA
Source: RNAcentral